This 498-nucleotide ribosomal RNA is filed under the name uncultured bacterium. RNAcentral's name for it is "partial 16S ribosomal RNA". It matches the Rfam family "Bacterial small subunit ribosomal RNA", at positions 29 to 523 of the family's 1533-position model. The record is from RNAcentral.
AUUGAACGCCGGCGGCAUGCCUUACACAUGCAAGUCGAACGGUAACGGGCCUUCGGGUGCCGACGAGUGGCGAACGGGUGAGUAAUACAUCGGAACGGGCCCGAUCGUGGGGGAUAACGAGGCGAAAGCUUUGCUAAUACCGCAUACGAUCUACGGAUGAAAGCAGGGGACCGCAAGGCCUUGCGCGGACGGAGCGGCCGAAGGCAGAUUAGGUAGUUGGUGGGAUAAAAGCUGACCAAGCCGACGAUCUGGAGCUGGGCUGCGAGGAUGAUCAGCCCAACUGGGACUGAGAAACGGCACAGACUCCUCCGGGAGGCAGCAGUGGGGAAUUUUGGACAAUGGGAGCAAGCCUGAUCCAGCCAUGCCGCGUGCAGGAUGAAGGCCUUCGGGUUGUAAACUGCUUUUGUACGGAACGAAAAGCCUUCUUCUAAUACAGGAGGGUCAUGACGGUACCGUAAGAAUAAGCACCGGCUAACUACGUGCCAGCCGCCGCGGUAA